AAAUUGAAGAGUUUGAUCAUGGCUCAGAUUGAACGCUGGCGGCAGGCCUAACACAUGCAAGUCGAACGGUAACAGGAAGAAGCUUGCUUCUUUGCUGACGAGUGGCGGACGGGUGAGUAAUGUCUGGGAAACUGCCCGAUGGAGGGGGAUAACUACUGGAAACGGUAGCUAAUACCGCAUAACGUCGCAAGACCAAAGAGGGGGACCUUCGGGCCUCUUGCCAUCGGAUGUGCCCAGAUGGGAUUAGCUUGUUGGUGAGGUAACGGCUCACCAAGGCGACGAUCCCUAGCUGGUCUGAGAGGAUGACCAGCCACACUGGAACUGAGACACGGUCCAGACUCCUACGGGAGGCAGCAGUGGGGAAUAUUGCACAAUGGGCGCAAGCCUGAUGCAGCCAUGCCGCGUGUAUGAAGAAGGCCUUCGGGUUGUAAAGUACUUUCAGCGGGGAGGAA
RNAcentral lists this ribosomal RNA (452 nucleotides) under Escherichia albertii. Its description in RNAcentral is "bacterial SSU rRNA". It matches the Rfam family "Bacterial small subunit ribosomal RNA", at positions 1 to 449 of the family's 1533-position model. Lineage: Bacteria; Pseudomonadati; Pseudomonadota; Gammaproteobacteria; Enterobacterales; Enterobacteriaceae. The record is from RNAcentral.